This 276-nucleotide ribosomal RNA is filed under the name Klebsiella pneumoniae. RNAcentral describes it as "partial 23S ribosomal RNA". It matches the Rfam family "Bacterial large subunit ribosomal RNA", at positions 410 to 692 of the family's 2925-position model. The record is from RNAcentral. Lineage: Bacteria; Pseudomonadati; Pseudomonadota; Gammaproteobacteria; Enterobacterales; Enterobacteriaceae.
AGUCGGUUUGCGGGAGGAUGGCCUGACUGAAUUUGGGGGGACCAUCCUGGAAGGCUUAAUACUCCUGACUGUCCGAUAGUGAACCAGUUCCGUGAGGGAAAGGCGAAUAGAACCCCGGCGAGGGGAGUGAAAAAGAACCUGAAACCGUGUAAGUACAAGCAGUGGGAGCACCUUCGGGUGUGAAUGCGUACCUUUUGUAUAAUGGGUCAGCGACUUAUAUUCUGUAGCAAGGUUAACCUUAUAGGGGAGCCGCAGGGAAACCGAGUCUUAACUGGG